CACACAGCAAUGGGGGAGAAUCAACUUUUGUUUUAUUAUUAUUACUCUUUUUCGAGCAGCCACAGCACGCUUGGCCGGUUUCUGCGAUGCGUCACGUUAACAGCGAGUUUCGUUGCUCCCUCGGGAAAUCUACUGGAAACUCGUCCACUUUGAACGGAAGUGAAAAUUAUUCAAUUACUGCAUCAAUAAGGAUUUAUAAUAAAAUACUAUUUUACAAGUAGGUUUCACCGACGCGACUCUCUCCUAUUCUUUUCUUUUUUUUAACUACCACGCUAGUCGUCGAGACAUUUAACCAGAACAUGGCAAAACUUGAGGAAAUUUGUAAAAGAAAAGGAAAUAACAAUAAAUAAAGUAAAAUGUACCUUGGGUGCUGCAAGACGGUCGUCGACUUGGAGGACGCGAUUUCGUUCAAAAUACAAAAAUAAUCCCGCCAAUAUUUACAGCACCUGCUUCUUCCCUACCCACACGUCUUUGAUAAAUUAAAGAGUCCCGCCAAACUCACAAAUGUCUUGGAUCAGGCCACUUUAGAGCAGAGGCAGUCUUUGUGUACGUGACAAGAAAAUAUUGACAACAGCUCCAGUGAUAAUGCAUAAAGAACCGAGUCCGUGCGAACGUUUGAAAAUACGUAGAGCCAAGUGAAAUUUGUCGAGAGACGACAAAACGUGCUAUUUACCAGCUCGUAUUGAAAUCCACGUGCGGCACGACCACCCGAGGCAGAACAAGCACGAGGUAACAGAAAUAAAAUCGCACUCUAUAGUACUGCGUUCAAAUCUAUUAGUAUUUGCAAAAGAAGUAGUCGGUAGUCGAAUAUAGUUACAGGAUAUACAUAUAUUAGCAGCAUUAUAUAGAUAUACAUAUUAGCACAAGUACAAUAUAUGUACAUAUAUACAAUAUAAAGUAUGUAGCCCCAUAACCUCUUUUCACGAAGUAACGAAUAAGACACCAGUAGGAAAUACAUUGGUCAAGAAAGUGACUGUAACCGUGAGGCGCACACAAUGUGAAAAAGUAACUAGAACAACGUGCUGUCUGCCGGCACGUCUAGAGACACGUGCGCCUAGUAAUAUAGAGAACUAGUUCAAAGGAUAUUUUUGCCAGAUCAAAGUUACCAGCGUAUACUUUUAUUUCUGGCUAGCAAGAACCUAUUAUCGUACCAUCGAGAGUCUCUACGUACGUACCCGCCUACGUGCGUUUAUGUUGCGUCGAACUGACAUGAAAAUCUCAUUGCCAGUUAGCGUUUCUGUCAUUUGACUUGUGUAAUAAAGACUUUGAUAGAGUAUCCGCUAGACUGACGCAGACCGUUUUAACGCUUGGCAAGAGAAUCCAAGUCGACCACCUACGAGAAGGAUAAUACUAGAAACACGUUUCUGGCAGUUUUAUAGACCAUAAUUCCUAGUGUUGACAAUGACAGAUUUUUUUUUCAUCCUCCCCGCCAAUGCAGUCCAAGUCAAAGUAAAAUUGACCACACAGUGAUUCCUUGAAUUCGUUGAUAAUUUUCGCCGAUUUAUAUGCGCCCGCGUUAACAGUUGAAAAAUCUCGUUCCAACAAUUAUUUCAUUGACCCGGUGUCACUAGGUUUGAAGAAUCAGAGGAAACACUGUCUUCCUUAAGGAUCUUUCGAGAUUUCCCAAGGGAUGCAACACUCCAGGUGUAUUUACGUGUAUUCCAUUGGGACUCGAGAAUUUUCUUCUGCACGCCUUUGAUCUGGUCUUGAUAUAUUUUUUCGGCUGCAGUCCCGUUCAAAACUUUUUUAUAUCUAUAAAUAUAUCGGUACUUCGACAAUGGUCAUGGUAUUUCCUCGUACAAAAAUCUUAAGAUCCCCAAAUUCCACAUAUUAAUAUCAGUAAAUACAUGGAAAAGCUUUCACGUGCUUCGAUGCACUAUCAUCGACUGCAAACGGUGCGUCCUCGAUUUAUUUUUAACAAGACUGACGCCAUACGACGAAAUUACUUUUUGAAUAACUUCUGGCAAUGACUUUAGGUAUCAUUUGUACAGUCGAUACUUUAGACGAGUAAAUCGAAUAAAAUAAUAACAAUGGACUCAAUACAGUCUGUACCAACGACCGUGAUCCUCUCUCUCUCU
Molecule: long non-coding RNA, 2078 nt
Organism: Cephus cinctus (wheat stem sawfly)
Lineage: Eukaryota; Metazoa; Arthropoda; Insecta; Hymenoptera; Cephidae
Exons: 3
Source: RefSeq, a predicted model, not a curated record